CCUACGGGAGGCAGCAGUGGGGAAUUUUGGACAAUGGGCGAAAGCCUGAUCCAGCAAUGCCGCGUGCAGGACGAAGGCCUUCGGGUUGUAAACUGCUUUUGUACGGAACGAAACGGUCUCUUUUAAUACAGGGGGCUAAUGACGGUACCGUAAGAAUAAGCACCGGCUAACUACGUGCCAGCAGCCGCGGUAAUACGUAGGGUGCAAGCGUUAAUCGGAAUUACUGGGCGUAAAGCGUGCGCAGGCGGUUAUAUAAGACAGAUGUGAAAUCCCCGGGCUCAACCUGGGACCUGCAUUUGUGACUGUAUAGCUAGAGUACGGUAGAGGGGGAUGGAAUUCCGCGUGUAGCAGUGAAAUGCGUAGAUAUGCGGAGGAACACCGAUGGCGAAGGCAAUCCCCUGGACCUGUACUGACGCUCAUGCACGAAAGCGUGGGGAGCAAACAGGAUUAGAUACCCUGGUAGUCCACGCCCUAAACGAUGUCAACUGGUUGUUGGGUCUUCACUGACUCAGUAACGAAGCUAACGCGUGAAGUUGACCGCCUGGGGAGUACGGCCGCAGGUUGAAACUCAAAGGAUUGACGG
RNAcentral lists this ribosomal RNA (583 nucleotides) under uncultured bacterium. RNAcentral's name for it is "bacterial SSU rRNA". It matches the Rfam family "Bacterial small subunit ribosomal RNA", at positions 338 to 916 of the family's 1533-position model. The record is from RNAcentral.